CCUUUAGGUUCGGAAUAGCUCCUGGAAACGGGUGGUAAUGCCGAAUGUGCCCUUCGGGGGAAAGAUUUAUCGCCUUUAGAGCGGCCCGCGUCUGAUUAGCUAGUUGGUGAGGUAACGGCUCACCAAGGCGACGAUCAGUAGCUGGUCUGAGAGGAUGACCAGCCACACUGGGACUGAGACACGGCCCAGACUCCUACGGGAGGCAGCAGUGGGGAAUCUUGCGCAAUGGGCGAAAGCCUGACGCAGCCAUGCCGCGUGAAUGAUGAAGGUCUUAGGAUUGUAAAAUUCUUUCACCGGGGACGAUAAUGACGGUACCCGGAGAAGAAGCCCCGGCUAACUUCGUGCCAGCAGCCGCGGUAAUACGAAGGGGGCUAGCGUUGCUCGGAAUUACUGGGCGUAAAGGGCGCGUAGGCGGAUCGUUAAGUCAGAGGUGAAAUCCCAGGGCUCAACCCUGGAACUGCCUUUGAUACUGGCGAUCUUGAGUAUGAGAGAGGUAUGU
RNAcentral lists this ribosomal RNA (499 nucleotides) under Brevundimonas sp. WH029. RNAcentral's name for it is "bacterial SSU rRNA". It matches the Rfam family "Bacterial small subunit ribosomal RNA", at positions 129 to 662 of the family's 1533-position model. The record is from RNAcentral. Lineage: Bacteria; Pseudomonadati; Pseudomonadota; Alphaproteobacteria; Caulobacterales; Caulobacteraceae.